Molecule: ribosomal RNA, 466 nt
Filed under: uncultured bacterium
Lineage: Bacteria
Description: partial 16S ribosomal RNA
Rfam family: Bacterial small subunit ribosomal RNA
Source: RNAcentral
GAUGAACGCUGGCGGCGUGCUUAACACAUGCCAGUCGAACGGAAAGGCCCAAGCUUGCUUGGGUACUCGAGUGGCGAACGGGUGAGUAACACGUGGGUGAUCUGCCCUGCACUUCGGGAUAAGCCUGGGAAACUGGGUCUAAUACCGGAUAGGACCACAUUUUGGAUGGUGUGGUGGAAAGUUUUUCGGUGUGGGAUGAGCUCGCGGCCUAUCAGCUUGUUGGUGGGGUAAUGGCCUACCAAGGCGUCGACGGGUAGCCGGCCUGAGAGGGUGUACGGCCACAUUGGGACUGAGAUACGGCCCAGACUCCUACGGGAGGCAGCAGUGGGGAAUAUUGCACAAUGGGCGCAAGCCUGAUGCAGCGACGCCGCGGGGGGGAGGACGGCCUUCGGGUUGUAAACUCCUUUCGCUAGGGACGAAGCGUUAUGUGACGGUACCUGGAGAAGAAGCACCGGCUAACUACGUG